AACGUAGGAGACAAACGUUAUCCGGAGUUACUGGGCGUAAAGCGCGCGCAGGCGGCCUUUUAAGUCUGAUGUGAAAGCCCACGGCUCAACCGUGGAAGGUCAUUGGAAACUGGAAGGCUUGAGUACAGAAGAGGAAAGCGGAAUUCCACGUGUAGCGGUGAAAUGCGUAGAGAUGUGGAGGAACACCAGUGGCGAAGGCGGCUUUCUGGUCUGUAACUGACGCUGAGGCGCGAAAGCGUGGGGAGCAAACAGG
This 253-nucleotide ribosomal RNA is filed under the name uncultured bacterium. Its description in RNAcentral is "partial 16S ribosomal RNA". It matches the Rfam family "Bacterial small subunit ribosomal RNA", at positions 524 to 776 of the family's 1533-position model. The record is from RNAcentral.